UACGAAGGGUGCAAACGUUGCUCGGAUUUACUGGGCGUAAAGCGCGUGUAGGCGGCUUGGCAAGUCGGAUGUGAAAGCCCACGGCUCAACCGUGGAAGCGCAUCCGAAACGGCCUCGCUCGAGUCUCGGAGAGGAAGGUGGAAUGCUUGGUGUAGAGGUGAAAUUCGUAGAUAUCAAGCAGAACACCUGCGGCGAAGGCGGCCCUCUGGACGAUGACUGACGCUGAGACGCGAAAGCGUGGGGAGCAAACAGG
This 253-nucleotide ribosomal RNA is filed under the name uncultured bacterium. RNAcentral's name for it is "partial 16S ribosomal RNA". It matches the Rfam family "Bacterial small subunit ribosomal RNA", at positions 524 to 776 of the family's 1533-position model. The record is from RNAcentral.